AGAGUUUGAUCAUGGUCAGGAUGAACGCUGGCGGCGUGCCUAACACAUGCAAGUCGAACGUGAUAUAUAGAUGAUUUCGGUCUGAAAUAUAUCAUAGUGGCGGACGGGUGAGUAACGCGUGAUAACCUGCCCCGUACUGGGGGAUAGCAGCUGGAAACGGCUGGUAAUACCGCAUAAGCGACGAGGGGGCCUCCCCCUGUGUGAAAAGAUUCAUCGGUACGGGAUGGGUCCGCGUCUGAUAGCCAGUUGGCGGGGUAACGGCCCACCAAAGCGACGAUCAGUAGCCGGCCUGAGAGGGUGACGGCCACAUUGGGACUGAGACACGGCCCAGACUCCUACGGGAGGCAGCAGUGGGGAAUAUGCACAAUGGGCGAAAGCCUGAUGCAGCGACGCCGCGUGAGUGAAGAAGUAUUUCGGUAUUAAAGCUCUAUCAGCAGGGAAGAAAGGCCCAUUAAGGGAGAUGACGGUACCUGACUAAGAGCCCCGGCUAACUACGUGCCAGCAGCCGCGGUAAUACGUAGGGGGCAAGCGUUAUCCGGAUUACUGGGUGUAAAGGGAGCGCAGACGGCAGCGCAAGUCUGAUGUGAAAUCCCGGGGCUCACCCCGGAACUGCAUUGGAAACUGCGCAGCUCGAGUAUC
RNAcentral lists this ribosomal RNA (639 nucleotides) under uncultured bacterium. RNAcentral describes it as "bacterial SSU rRNA". It matches the Rfam family "Bacterial small subunit ribosomal RNA", at positions 8 to 650 of the family's 1533-position model. The record is from RNAcentral.